ACAUGAUUCUGGCAGUAUGCACUUA
Molecule: non-coding RNA, 25 nt
Filed under: Cricetulus griseus (Chinese hamster)
Lineage: Eukaryota; Metazoa; Chordata; Mammalia; Rodentia; Cricetidae
Source: RNAcentral